This is a non-coding RNA of Viridothelium virens, 87 nucleotides long. NCBI's taxonomy places the organism in Eukaryota, Fungi, Ascomycota, Dothideomycetes, Trypetheliales, Trypetheliaceae. The record is from the annotation of a GenBank genome assembly.
GCUGCGUUCGUCUAGUGGUUCAGGACAGUGGAUUGUGAUUCAUCUCGCAGAACUCCAAUAACGUGGGUUCGAAUCCCGUACGCAGCA